RNAcentral lists this transfer-messenger RNA (399 nucleotides) under Flavobacteriaceae bacterium. It matches the Rfam family "transfer-messenger RNA". Rfam says of the family: Bacterial tmRNA, also known as 10Sa RNA or SsrA, is named for its dual tRNA and mRNA-like properties. Its role is to liberate the mRNA from a stalled ribosome. The record is from RNAcentral. Lineage: Bacteria; Pseudomonadati; Bacteroidota; Flavobacteriia; Flavobacteriales; Flavobacteriaceae.
GGGGACGACUGGUUUUGACAGCAAGAUUAGGUAAAAUGUAAGCAUACCGAGGAAUGAAAUCACUACUCGUAACACUUAUUUCAUCAUUUUAAACGGCGAAGAUAACUACGCUUUAGCAGCUUAAUAACCCGAAUCACAGUACGGUUUUAGCCUCGGCACACUAGGUGUGCAUGCUUUAUGUCCACGAAAAGCCUUGGUUUAUGGCGUUUCUUUUUUGGACAUCGUAAAAGUAAACCUAGAAAACUUGGAACUUUGACUCGUUUUUGAAACUUAAGAAGUUAAGCUUAAAGCAGAUUGUUUUUGAUCAGCUUUUUGUCGAAAAUUAAACAAAAACUAAGUAUGUAGAAAGCUUUUUGGUUACUUGUUUGGACCCGAGUUCGAUUCUCGGCGUCUCCACAA